Long non-coding RNA from Coregonus clupeaformis (lake whitefish), 421 nucleotides. RefSeq lists it as uncharacterized. The record is from RefSeq and is a predicted model, not a curated record. The transcript is spliced from 4 exons. NCBI's taxonomy places the organism in Eukaryota, Metazoa, Chordata, Actinopteri, Salmoniformes, Salmonidae.
GUGGAUGGAGUUAAGGUGGAGGUUAGUGGAGAGUGGAACCUGGCCUCAGCCCUGCUGCCUGUCACCAUCAACAGAAUCCCCAGGGUUCUACAGUGUCUGUCUAGAGACGCAGGAGGAGAGAUCACUCUACAGUACCUGGGGACACAGUUUAAGGUGCGUGUUCUCAGUAAGCUGGUGUCCACGCUGAGCAGUCACAUGCCUGAGAAGGUUCCAGAAGACACCAGCAGCAUCCUGCGUUCUCCCAUGCCUGGCUCCGUGGUCUCCGUGUCCGUCAAACCUGGAGACGUGGUGGCUGAAGGUCAGGAGAUUUGUGUGAUCGAGGCCAUGAAGAUGCAGAACAGCUUGAUUGCUGCUAAAGCUGCCAAGGUGAAGAGUGUCCACUGUAAAGCAGGAGAGACUGUUGGAGAGGGGAGACCUUCUG